GGCAAAUUGUUUUGCAGCAAUCAGAACAUUUCAUUUUGAAGCAUUGAAUUAUUUUGUUGUGUUUUUAUUUAUAUUUAAAAAAUAUAUAUUUUGCAAGAAAAUUUUGUGAAAAGCUAACAAAAGUCAAAGACUCGAAAUAAGACAAAAAACCAAGAAACAACCACCAAAAUGAGGAUAACUUACAAAGGCUGCUGCUCCAAACAAUGAAUUUUGCCGUGAAUUUCUAAAAAUGUGGUAAAGUACUUAGAGGGAAAUCCUUUGUGGAUUUUCAAACUAUUACUAUGCAAACGGAAUGACGAACUUUAUAUACCCCCCAUACUUUGUUUGGUGGAGGGUAUAAAAAUAACAACUCUCAACGUACCAGCCAUCACUUUGCACAGCAAACGUUUGGAAGCGUUUUGUUCCUAAACGAUAAAGUUCGCCAACCCACAGCCGAAGUGCAUUAAGAAUGACUAUAAAACAGAAAAUCUGUUGUAACCGGCCCAUCGCGAUUUAUUAUUGUUAAUGAGCAAUACACACCAAUAUCGUCUGAUCUAGUCUCAAGUGGCCGGUCGAAGUAGAGGUGUUUAAUGUGAAUAUCUCGCCAGUUGAUAGCGGACAUUAGAUCGCUUUUGGAAGGCAAUAUCUGGUGCUAGAUAAUGAACAGAGGGGAUCACAGCGUUGGCAGAGCAAAAUGAUUGCACACAUUGAGGUUACAACAACAACUCAUAAAGUUCGAUUACCGAGUCUACACUCCUUUAUAGACUUUAAUAUUCAUAAUGGCUUAUGACCUAAUGUUGAAAAACAAUGUAAUCAGAGGGUAAAAGAAAAAUUCGAAGAAUCUCGACUCUCUGCCGACCCAGCUUUAAUCUACAAUUUAUUCCAGACAACGGUUAUAAAUGAAUAAAAUAGAUUAUUUGCUAUGCUAUGUUACAGAACCUGCAAGAAUCGUUGCAAAUUCUGGAAGAGAAUAUCUACCAAAUGCCUUGCUAAGACAGAAAUUUUAAGAACUAUAUCUCAUGAAGUUUAACACGUCUACCUAUAAUAUUGGUAAUAUAAACAAUAAAUUAAACAAGGAAUAAAAGAAGCGAGAAAACACAAUUUAAGUUAUCGAUUGAAAUGUGACUUGCCGAAAUGUUACAAAAAAGUAAUAUAACUAAAUAGACAAUUUCUGCAAAGUGAUCACCAGAUAUCUGCACUAAAUUUCUAUGCAAGAUCAGGCAGAGUUUUAAGUAUUUAAGAGCUGAACAUACUUUUUUUAUUUAUGUCAAAGUCUAAGCAAAAAGCCGUAACCUCUUGAGUUCUACAUAUAUCAAUAUAAAUGUUUGAUAAAUUAAGAUUUGUAUAAAUAAAUAUAAAUUGUUAUCUCAAAGAGAGAUAUGUAUAUGGAAGCAUGGACCACCACAUAUAUUAUAUGUGUUCAUUCACUUAUUAAUAAUUUUUCUGCUAUAUUUUAAUUUAUUUUAAAUAUAGGUGUAUAGUGUCGAUUAUCAAGUUAACGUACUACUAGAUUAUUCGACGAAAAUGCUUUCACAAGGCAGUCUGCUUGUGAUAUGCUGAUAAAUUCCUUCGGGGCAAGAUAUAACAUUCUGCGGCUUUCUACUUCUUUAAAUUGAAUGUUCAUGCCCUAUGAAUCAUCCCAAUAAAAAUUCUUACUUACUUGCAUU
Molecule: long non-coding RNA, 1646 nt
Organism: Musca domestica (house fly)
Lineage: Eukaryota; Metazoa; Arthropoda; Insecta; Diptera; Muscidae
Exons: 3
Source: RefSeq, a predicted model, not a curated record